UCUUAGCCCUGAUUGAAACGACAUCCUUUUUAUGCUGAAUUAAAUUAGAUUUAGAUUUUAUAAUGCUAUUAAAUUCUAAAAAUGAAUUGAAUUAUAAGGUAUUCAGCAUAAAAAGAUAUAGUGUAAAGCAGGAAAUAGC
RNAcentral lists this small RNA (139 nucleotides) under Polaribacter reichenbachii. RNAcentral's name for it is "Flavo-1 RNA". It matches the Rfam family "Flavo-1 RNA". Lineage: Bacteria; Pseudomonadati; Bacteroidota; Flavobacteriia; Flavobacteriales; Flavobacteriaceae. The record is from Rfam by way of RNAcentral.